CAGCCGCCGCGGUAAUACGAAGGGGGCUAGCGUUGUUCGGAUUUACUGGGCGUAAAGGGCGCGUAGGCGGACUGAUAAGUCAGGGGUGAAAUCCCAGAGCUCAACUCUGGAACUGCCUUUGAUACUGGGUAUCUUGAGUAUGGAAGAGGUGAGUGGAAUUCCGAGUGUAGAGGUGAAAUUCGUAGAUAUUCGGAGGAACACCAGUGGCGAAGGCGGCUCACAGGUCCAUUACUGACGCUGAGGUGCGAAAGCGUGGGGAGCAAACAGGAUUAGAUACCCGCGUAGUCCCUGUCUCUUAUAC
RNAcentral lists this ribosomal RNA (301 nucleotides) under uncultured bacterium. RNAcentral describes it as "partial 16S ribosomal RNA". It matches the Rfam family "Bacterial small subunit ribosomal RNA", at positions 509 to 807 of the family's 1533-position model. The record is from RNAcentral.